GCGGUAUGGCCAAGUGGUAAGGCAGUGGAUUGCAAAUCCUCGACCCUCAGUUCGAAUCUGAGUG
This 64-nucleotide transfer RNA is filed under the name Entomoneis paludosa. RNAcentral's name for it is "Amphiprora paludosa tRNA". It matches the Rfam family "tRNA", at positions 6 to 65 of the family's 71-position model. Rfam says of the family: Transfer RNA (tRNA) molecules are approximately 80 nucleotides in length. Their secondary structure includes four short double-helical elements and three loops (D, anti-codon, and T loops). Lineage: Eukaryota; Bacillariophyta; Bacillariophyceae; Surirellales; Surirellaceae. The record is from RNAcentral.